GAAGCUUGCUUCUCUGAUGUUAGCGGCGGACGGGUGAGUAACACGUGGAUAACCUACCUAUAAGACUGGGAUAACUUCGGGAAACCGGAGCUAAUACCGGAUAAUAUUUUGAACCGCAUGGUUCAAAAGUGAAAGACGGUCUUGCUGUCACUUAUAGAUGGAUCCGCGCUGCAUUAGCUAGUUGGUAAGGUAACGGCUUACCAAGGCAACGAUGCAUAGCCGACCUGAGAGGGUGAUCGGCCACACUGGAACUGAGACACGGUCCAGACUCCUACGGGAGGCAGCAGUAGGGAAUCUUCCGCAAUGGGCGAAAGCCUGACGGAGCAACGCCGCGUGAGUGAUGAAGGUCUUCGGAUCGUAAAACUCUGUUAUUAGGGAAGAACAUAUGUGUAAGUAACUGUGCACAUCUUGACGGUACCUAAUCAGAAAGCCACGGCUAACUACGUGCCAGCAGCCGCGGUAAUACGUAGGUGGCAAGCGUUAUCCGGAAUUAUUGGGCGUAAAGCGCGCGUAGGCGGUUUUUUAAGUCUGAUGUGAAAGCCCACGGCUCAACCGUGGAGGGUCAUUGGAAACUGGAAAACUUGAGUGCAGAAGAGGAAAGUGGAAUUCCAUGUGUAGCGGUGAAAUGCGCAGAGAUAUGGAGGAACACCAGUGGCGAAGGCGACUUUCUGGUCUGUAACUGACGCUGAUGUGCGAAAGCGUGGGGAUCAAACAGGAUUAGAUACCCUGGUAGUCCACGCCGUAAACGAUGAGUGCUAAGUGUUAGGGGGUUUCCGCCCCUUAGUGCUGCAGCUAACGCAUUAAGCACUCCGCCUGGGGAGUACGACCGCAAGGUUGAAACUCAAAGGAAUUGACGGGGACCCGCACAAGCGGUGGAGCAUGUGGUUUAAUUCGAAGCAACGCGAAGAACCUUACCAAAUCUUGACAUCCUUUGACAACUCUAGAGAUAGAGCUUUCCCCUUCGGGGGACAAAGUGACAGGUGGUGCAUGGUUGUCGUCAGCUCGUGUCGUGAGAUGUUGGGUUAAGUCCCGCAACGAGCGCAACCCUUAAGCUUAGUUGCCAUCAUUAAGUUGGGCACUCUAAGUUGACUGCCGGUGACAAACCGGAGGAAGGUGGGGAUGACGUCAAAUCAUCAUGCCCCUUAUGAUUUGGGCUACACACGUGCUACAAUGGACAAUACAAAGGGCAGCGAAACCGCGAGGUCAAGCAAAUCCCAUAAAGUUGUUCUCAGUUCGGAUUGUAGUCUGCAACUCGACUACAUGAAGCUGGAAUCGCUAGUAAUCGUAGAUCAGCAUGCUACGGUGAAUACGUUCCCGGGUCUUGUACACACCGCCCGUCACACCACGAGAGUUUGUAACACCCGAAGCCGGUGGAGUAACCUUUUAGGAGCUAGCCGUCGAAGGUGGGACAAAUGAUUGGGGUGAAGUCGUAACAAGGUAGCCGUAUCGGAAGGUGCGGCUG
This 1462-nucleotide ribosomal RNA is filed under the name Staphylococcus aureus. RNAcentral describes it as "bacterial SSU rRNA". It matches the Rfam family "Bacterial small subunit ribosomal RNA". The record is from RNAcentral. Lineage: Bacteria; Bacillati; Bacillota; Bacilli; Caryophanales; Staphylococcaceae.